CAAGCUGGCUGGGCAGUCGCUGUUUAGUCGCUUUAAGUGAUUAAGCGGAGGAAAGUCCGGGCUCCAUAGGGUAGAACGCCAGGUAACGCCUGGGAGGUGUAAGCCUACGGAAAGUGCCGCAGAGAGUAGACCGCCUAAGACAGUAAAUAUACUGAACGGUAAGGGUGAAAGGGUGCGGUAAGAGCGCACCGCAUGGCUGGCAACAGCUUAUGGCAAGGUAAACCCCGUUCGGAGCAAGACCAAAUAGGAAUUCAAUGGUGUGACCCGCGCUGAAUUCGGGUAGGUUGCUUGAGGUGUAUGGCGACAUACACCCUAGAUGAAUGACUGCUAUGCCUGUUUUUUUCAGGUAGACAGAACCCGGCUUAUAGGCCAGCUUGCAUU
Molecule: RNase P RNA, 381 nt
Filed under: Endozoicomonas sp. (ex Botrylloides leachii)
Lineage: Bacteria; Pseudomonadati; Pseudomonadota; Gammaproteobacteria; Oceanospirillales; Endozoicomonadaceae
Description: RNase P RNA component class A
Rfam family: Bacterial RNase P class A
About the family: Ribonuclease P (RNase P) is a ubiquitous endoribonuclease, found in archaea, bacteria and eukarya as well as chloroplasts and mitochondria. Its best characterised activity is the generation of mature 5'-ends of tRNAs by cleaving the 5'-leader elements of precursor-tRNAs.
Source: RNAcentral